GACGAACGUUGGCGGCGUGCUUAAUACAUGCAAGUCAACUGAAGCACCGGUAGUAAUACUGGUGUGGAGGUGGCGCACGGGUGAGUAACACGUAGGUAAUCUGCCUUCAGGUCUGACAUAACCCCGAGAAAUCGGGGCUAAUAGCAGAUGAUGCAGCGGCUUGACAUCAAGACAGUUGUUAAAGCUUCGGCGCCUGAAGAUGAGCCUGCGUCUGAUUAGCUAGUUGGCGGAGUAAUGGCCCACCAAGGCUACGAUCAGUAACUGGUCUGAGAGGAUGAUCAGUCACACUGGAACUGAGACACGGUCCAGACUCCUACGGGAGGCAGCAGUAAGGAAUAUUGCUCAAUGGGAGAAAUCCUGAAGCAGCAACGCCGCGUGAGGGAUGAAGGGCUUUUGCUCGUAAACCUCUGUAGUGAGGGAAAAAUUUCCACUCUGUGGAAUAUGAUGGUACCUCAAAAGUAAGACCCCGGCUAACUACGUG
RNAcentral lists this ribosomal RNA (481 nucleotides) under uncultured bacterium. RNAcentral describes it as "bacterial SSU rRNA". It matches the Rfam family "Bacterial small subunit ribosomal RNA", at positions 28 to 507 of the family's 1533-position model. The record is from RNAcentral.